RNAcentral lists this long non-coding RNA (683 nucleotides) under Pan troglodytes (chimpanzee). RNAcentral's name for it is "lncRNA (ENSPTRG00000053369.1)". The record is from RNAcentral. Lineage: Eukaryota; Metazoa; Chordata; Mammalia; Primates; Hominidae.
GGAGAUUUGAUGGGGAAUGAACACCCCACAGCUCUGUGCAGGAGUGCCUGGAAGUGAGGCCAGUCAAGGGAAGGCUGCCAGACAACCAACUCAGCUUCAGACCAUCUUCAGAUCGUAACCCACCAGGGACUGUGGGCUUUGCCAGACCACAUUUUUGGUUACUGCAACUCAAGUUGGCUUCUAAAUCUCAAAAAAUGUGACAAUGAUACAGAUUUUUUUAUCUACUUUUGUCUAAAACAUUUAAAUACUCAUUCUGAAGUAACUCAUCUCAAAAUCCAAUGCUAGAAAAAUGGAAAUAAUUACAGGCAGAAGCAAUGAUUUAAAGGUUUAAAAGAAGCUGUCCAUUCUAAAGAGUCAGAGGAAACCUUUCCUUAUGAAAUGGUUAAUGAAAUAAAUAGGAAAAAAAAUUCCAACACAAUCACGAGGUUCCAGAAAACAUUGUAUAUUUAUUUAAAAAGUAAUUUUGUAUGAAUGAAAUAUUUCUUAAGGUUCUGCCUUUCUUUCCUUCCACUCAACAGGAAACAAAAUUACUGGAUUUAUGGUCAAGGAAAAUCACUAACCCACAGCCCUCAGAUGCACUCAUGAAAAUGGGAAGAAUGCAUACACAGGGAUCAGAGAACAGAGAAACAGGUGAAUCUUGUGGUUGGAAAGAAACGCACUUUGGAUUAUUCCAGCCUCUGUGA